AACGAACGCUGGCGGCAGGCUUAACACAUGCAAGUCGAGCGCCCCCCAAGGGGAGCGGCAGACGGGUGAGUAACGCGUGGGAAUCUACCCAUCCCUACGGAACAACUCCGGGAAACUGGAGCUAAUACCGUAUACGCCCUUCGGGGGAAAGAUUUAUCGGGGAUGGAUGAGCCCGCGUUGGAUUAGCUAGUUGGUGGGGU
RNAcentral lists this ribosomal RNA (200 nucleotides) under uncultured bacterium. Its description in RNAcentral is "partial 16S ribosomal RNA". It matches the Rfam family "Bacterial small subunit ribosomal RNA", at positions 29 to 258 of the family's 1533-position model. The record is from RNAcentral.